RNAcentral lists this unclassified non-coding RNA (934 nucleotides) under Leishmania donovani. RNAcentral describes it as "gene:unknown". The record is from RNAcentral. Lineage: Eukaryota; Euglenozoa; Kinetoplastea; Trypanosomatida; Trypanosomatidae.
AUAUUGCUCGAUUGUGUCCCGCCGCAAGCACAGCCUCACCCAUAUACCCCUUCUCUGUCUCUCCAUUGUGCACAUCCACCCUCCACCGCCCCCUCCCUUCCUCCUUCCCUUUCUCUCGCACUAUUGGAGGCUACGUGUAGUGGCGGUGACCACCGGCCGGAGGUCUUGCGUGGUGGAUGGUUUGCUGUGAUGCUCGUGGCGCCCUCGCCACUUCGCCAGUCUUCUCGCCCUCCCGCCCGCUCACACGCCCCCCCCUUUCGUUUUCUUCUUUGAUGCUUGGCCUGUCCCUUCGCUUGCUUCUUCACCCCGUCUCACUCUCUCGCCUUUCUCCUCGCCGGCUGCGUCACUCUGUCGCUGCACGUGUGUGUGUCAACGGCACACACACGUCACGGCACUGGCGCAGACACCAUCAUUAUCAUCACGCGUUUGCAUAGUUUGAGUAUCUCGUCACCCUUCCUCUGCUGCUUUCGCCACCGGCCGCCGUGCGCGCGUGUCUGCGUGGGUGUGAGAGUUGACUUCGCCUACCCGCAGUAUAAAUCCAUACGCACUCACGCACGCCAAAGUGGAGCGCCGGUGCGCAGCCGCACACACAGACGCACGCACAGGCAUCGCGCUCUCCCUUGCUCAUUUUGUUUUCAUCGUUUUGUUGUUGUGCGUGUGCGUGUGUAAAAGGAGCACGAGGAAGCAGCGACCGAGAAAACGAAGCGCCGUCCCGCCUUCUCCCUCCCUCCCUCUGUCUGUCUCGCGCGCGCCGUCGACAAGACACGCGCUGGCGUGCACAGAAGUAGAAUAGACGAUACACGCACACGUGCGUACGCUUGUCGGCUGCGCCUCCCUUCUCUUUCUGGAACUCUUGCUUCGCUACCAUCUCCCUCUCGCUGUCUGAGCAUCGCCAUUUGGUUUCACUGCCACUCUGCUUCGGCGGCCUGCGUAG